GUGAGGAAUAUUGGUCAAUGGGCGCAAGCCUGAACCAGCCAUGCCGCGUGCAGGAAGACGGUCCUAUGGAUUGUAAACUGCUUUUAUUUGGGAAUAAACUCCGGUACGUGUACCGGCCUGAAGGUACCAAAUGAAUAAGCACCGGCUAACUCCGUGCCAGCAGCCGCGGUAAUACGGAGGGUGCAAGCGUUAUCCGGAAUCAUUGGGUUUAAAGGGUCCGCAGGCGGUCUUAUAAGUCAGUGGUGAAAGCCUACAGCUCAACUGUAGAACUGCCAUUGAUACUGUAGGACUUGAAUUCGAUCGAAGUGGGCGGAAUGUGACAUGUAGCGGUGAAAUGCUUAGAUAUGUCACAGAAAACCGAUAGCGAAGGCAGCUCACUAGGUCUGGAUUGACGCUCAGGGACGAAAGCGUGGGGAGCAAACAGGAUUAGAAACCCGUGUAGUCC
This 445-nucleotide ribosomal RNA is filed under the name uncultured bacterium. RNAcentral describes it as "partial 16S ribosomal RNA". It matches the Rfam family "Bacterial small subunit ribosomal RNA", at positions 354 to 796 of the family's 1533-position model. The record is from RNAcentral.